AGCAGAUGUUCCCAUCUCUGCUCCCCUUCCCUUUAGGGUGGAGUCUACUUCCCCACUGAUGAUGGGCUUGGCCAUGUGACUUGCUCUGGCCAGUGGAACAUGGACAAAGAAGUCCACGUGACAGUUCUAAGCACCAGCUUUAGGAACUCUACAGUUAGAUCAAGCUCUAGAAGCCUGUCGUCCUUCAUUGUGGGCCCUGGAAGAAGAUGUAUAGGAUGGACCUGCGUCCUGAAACCUACAUUCAGCCUGAAGAGGAGCAGCUGCCAUGGACCUGCAGACUGAUUCUCUCACCGUGGACUCCAUAAAGGCUGUUGACUCCUGAGCUGAUAUAAACGCUGGUGUCCGGAUUUUGGAGCUCCAAACUAAGACGUGAGACUGAGGGUUCUACAAAGAUAACUGUGAGUGGGGAGAAAUAGAUGGAUGGAAAAUGACCCUCAAAGCUGGUAUGUCUAAGCUGGGGAAUGAAGACGGAGCAGCAAGCACACAGACUGGAUGUGAAAAUAAGCCUCUCCACUUAUUAGCCAAGUACUUUAACCUAUCUUAGCUUCUUUAUCUAAAUUUCCUUAUCUAUGAAAUGAAAAUAUCUCUUUAGGUGAUUCUUAAAGGAAUUAAAAGAGAUAAUGUCAAAGGAACUUUGUAAAACGCAAACAGAUGUGGGGCACUGUUGUUGAUAGACAGCCGAGCUGGGAUAGUGAUUAUCCUCAAGUAUUGAAGAAGUAUUCCAUACGGUUGUUGAAUCUGUACACUGAACAAGGAGUUGCAGCCAAAAUGGCCAAUGGGGGCUUGCCAGACUGUUGCCCUGGCUCAGACUAAAUUCAUAAAGGAUAUAAGAGCACCUUUCUCACGCUAAGGCAUCCUCUGCCUGGCAGGACAAGCACCCACCCAGAAGAGGUAUCUUUCCCCAUUCAGUUUCAUGAAGGUGCCGUGUAGGUUUUGCGCAUUUUUAUAUAAAUAUACAGCAGCAUUGUAUAUUCAAUGGUAGUCAAGAGGAUAAUGCUAGACAGUUGUUUUCCAUCUCCUCAGUGGAGAUGCAGUAUUUGUUGAACUUGAAGUUAAAGGAGAGCUCAGGCAAAGAGAAGCUCUGUUGAUCUAAGAGAGCUCAAACAUUAGACCACUUGAAGUGACAAUAGAAUAUCCAUUUUUGAAAAAUCUUUUAAGACAAAAUAGGAGAUCUUCUAGAUGUCUGCCAUCUAAACAUCUCUCUGACACAUUUUCUGGUUCUCUGAUUCUUAUAUUAUCCUGAGUUUAAAAGACUUUAAGCCUGCCCUGUGGCUUUUCCCUGGUUCACUCACCAGGAAAAAUAAAAAAAUUAUUUCUUUUUCUUAGUUGGAUUUG
This 1335-nucleotide long non-coding RNA is filed under the name Bos mutus (wild yak). RNAcentral describes it as "lncRNA (ENSBMUG00000004949.1)". Lineage: Eukaryota; Metazoa; Chordata; Mammalia; Artiodactyla; Bovidae. The record is from RNAcentral.